Molecule: ribosomal RNA, 465 nt
Filed under: Vreelandella stevensii
Lineage: Bacteria; Pseudomonadati; Pseudomonadota; Gammaproteobacteria; Oceanospirillales; Halomonadaceae
Description: partial 16S ribosomal RNA
Rfam family: Bacterial small subunit ribosomal RNA
Source: RNAcentral
CCUACGGGUGGCAGCAGUGGGGAAUAUUGGACAAUGGGGGGAACCCUGAUCCAGCCAUGCCGCGUGUGUGAAGAAGGCCCUCGGGUUGUAAAGCACUUUCAGUGAGGAAGAACGCCUGGUGGUUAAUACCCAUCAGGAAAGACAUCACUCACAGAAGAAGCACCGGCUAACUCCGUGCCAGCAGCCGCGGUAAUACGGAGGGUGCGAGCGUUAAUCGGAAUUACUGGGCGUAAAGCGCGCGUAGGUGGCUCGAUAAGCCGGUUGUGAAAGCCCCGGGCUCAACCUGGGAACGGCAUCCGGAACUGUCAAGCUAGAGUGCAGGAGAGGAAGGUAGAAUUCCCGGUGUAGCGGUGAAAUGCGUAGAGAUCGGGAGGAAUACCAGUGGCGAAGGCGGCCUUCUGGACUGACACUGACACUGAGGUGCGAAAGCGUGGGUAGCAAACAGGAUUAGAUACCCUGGUAGUC